UACGGGGGGGGCAAGCGUUGUUCGGAAUUACUGGGCGUAAAGGGCUCGUAGGCGGCCAACUAAGUCAGACGUGAAAUCCCUCGGCUUAACCGGGGAACUGCGUCUGAUACUGGAUGGCUUGAGAUUGGGAGAGGGAUGCGGAAUUCCAGGUGUAGCGGUGAAAUGCGUAGAUAUCUGGGGGAACACCGGUGGCGAAGGCGGCAUCCUGGACCAACACUGACGCUGAGGAGCGAAAGCCAGGGGAGCAAACGGG
RNAcentral lists this ribosomal RNA (253 nucleotides) under uncultured bacterium. RNAcentral describes it as "partial 16S ribosomal RNA". It matches the Rfam family "Bacterial small subunit ribosomal RNA", at positions 524 to 776 of the family's 1533-position model. The record is from RNAcentral.